RNAcentral lists this ribosomal RNA (1323 nucleotides) under metagenome. RNAcentral's name for it is "bacterial SSU rRNA". It matches the Rfam family "Bacterial small subunit ribosomal RNA", at positions 104 to 1429 of the family's 1533-position model. The record is from RNAcentral.
GGGUGAGUAAUACAUCGGAACGUGCCCAGUAGUGGGGGAUAGCCCGGCGAAAGCCGGAUUAAUACCGCAUACGACCUACGGGUGAAAGCGGGGGAUCGCAAGACCUCGCGCUAUUGGAGCGGCCGAUGUCAGAUUAGCUAGUUGGUGGGGUAAAAGCCUACCAAGGCGACGAUCUGUAGCUGGUCUGAGAGGACGACCAGCCACACUGGGACUGAGACACGGCCCAGACUCCUACGGGAGGCAGCAGUGGGGAAUUUUGGACAAUGGGGGCAACCCUGAUCCAGCCAUGCCGCGUGCGGGAAGAAGGCCUUCGGGUUGUAAACCGCUUUUGUCAGGGAAGAAACGGUCUGCGCUAAUACCGCGGACUAAUGACGGUACCUGAAGAAUAAGCACCGGCUAACUACGUGCCAGCAGCCGCGGUAAUACGUAGGGUGCAAGCGUUAAUCGGAAUUACUGGGCGUAAAGCGUGCGCAGGCGGCUUUGCAAGACAGAUGUGAAAUCCCCGGGCUCAACCUGGGAACUGCAUUUGUGACUGCAUGGCUGGAGUGCGGCAGAGGGGGGUGGAAUUCCGCGUGUAGCAGUGAAAUGCGUAGAUAUGCGGAGGAACACCGAUGGCGAAGGCAAUCCCCUGGGCCUGCACUGACGCUCAUGCACGAAAGCGUGGGGAGCAAACAGGAUUAGAUACCCUGGUAGUCCACGCCCUAAACGAUGUCAACUGGUUGUUGGACGGCUUGCUGUUCAGUAACGAAGCUAACGCGUGAAGUUGACCGCCUGGGGAGUACGGCCGCAAGGUUGAAACUCAAAUGAAUUGACGGGGACCCGCACAAGCGGUGGAUGAUGUGGUUUAAUUCGAUGCAACGCGAAAAACCUUACCUACCCUUGACAUGUCUAGAAGUUUCCAGAGAUGGAUUCGUGCUCGAAAGAGAACUAGAACACAGGUGCUGCAUGGCCGUCGUCAGCUCGUGUCGUGAGAUGUUGGGUUAAGUCCCGCAACAAGCGCAACCCUUAUCAUUAGUUGCUACGCAAGGGCACUCUAAUGAGACUGCCGGUGACAAACCGGAGGAAGGUGGGGAUGACGUCAGGUCAUCAUGGCCCUUAUGGGUAGGGCUACACACGUCAUACAAUGGCCGGUACAGAGGGCUGCCAACCCGCGAGGGGAAGCUAAUCUCAGAAAACCGGUCGUAGUCCGGAUCGCAGUCUGCAACUCGACUGCGUGAAGUCGGAAUCGCUAGUAAUCGCGGAUCAGCUUGCCGCGGUGAAUACGUUCCCGGGUCUUGUACACACCGCCCGUCACACCAUGGGAGCGGGUUCUGCCAGAAGUAG